Molecule: long non-coding RNA, 260 nt
Filed under: Elaeis guineensis (African oil palm)
Lineage: Eukaryota; Viridiplantae; Streptophyta; Magnoliopsida; Arecales; Arecaceae
Description: long non-coding RNA (EGUI_LNC029400)
Source: RNAcentral
GGGAUACUGUAACUUUUGGCCCAAAAAGAGUUUUUAGCAAAAGCUACAUUUUAAGAUCAAAACCUAUUUUACGACAAAGUAAUUUUUUGCUGUAAAAGUAUUUAUCUAUCAAGUUCUAAAAGUUGUUCUAAAGUUGUAGAAGUCGUUUGUUGUGUGUUUGGUUGGUAAACUCAAAAAUUGGUUUUGAAUGACAAAAUGAUCAAAAAAGACAAAUGCCAUACCAAGAUAUGAAUCUAUCAUGGCAUCUCUUUCUUCUAUGG